Molecule: ribosomal RNA, 447 nt
Filed under: uncultured bacterium
Lineage: Bacteria
Description: bacterial SSU rRNA
Rfam family: Bacterial small subunit ribosomal RNA
Source: RNAcentral
UCGGGAAUUUUGGGCAAUGGGCGAAAGCCUGACCCAGCAACGCCGCGUGAGUGACGAAGGUCUUCGGAUUGUAAAGCUCUUUUACCAGGGACGAUAAUGACGGUACCUGGAGAAUAAGCCCCGGCUAACUUCGUGCCAGCAGCCGCGGUAAUACGAAGGGGGCUAGCGUUGUUCGGAAUUACUGGGCGUAAAGCGCACGUAGGCGGAUUUGUAAGUCAGGGGUGAAAUCCCGGGGCUCAACCUCGGAACUGCCUUUGAUACUGCAAGUCUCGAGUCCGAUAGAGGUGAGUGGAAUUCCUAGUGUAGAGGUGAAAUUCGUAGAUAUUAGGAAGAACACCAGUGGCGAAGGCGGCUCACUGGAUCGGUACUGACGCUGAGGUGCGAAAGCGUGGGGAGCAAACAGGAUUAGAUACCCACGUAGUCCCUGAGCGGGCUGGCAAGGCGCAU